RNAcentral lists this ribosomal RNA (123 nucleotides) under Aquila chrysaetos chrysaetos. The record is from RNAcentral. Lineage: Eukaryota; Metazoa; Chordata; Aves; Accipitriformes; Accipitridae.
GCCUACGGCGGCAUACCCACCCUGCGAGACGCCCGAUCUCGUCUGAUCUCGGAAGCUAAGCAGGGUCGGGCCCGGUUAGUACUUGGAUGGGAGACCGCCUGGGAAUACCGGGUGCUGUAGGCU